This 254-nucleotide ribosomal RNA is filed under the name uncultured bacterium. RNAcentral describes it as "partial 16S ribosomal RNA". It matches the Rfam family "Bacterial small subunit ribosomal RNA", at positions 524 to 776 of the family's 1533-position model. The record is from RNAcentral.
UACGAAGGGGGCUAGCGUUGCUCGGAAUCACUGGGCGUAAAGGGUGCGUAGGCGGGUCUUUAAGUCAGGGGUGAAAUCCCGAGGCUCAACUCCAGAACUGCCUUUGAUACUGAGGAUCUUGAGUUCGGGAGAGGUGAGUGGAACUGCGAGUGUAGAGGUGAAAUUCGUAGAUAUUCGCAAGAACACCAGUGGCGAAGGCGGCUCACUGGCCCGAUACUGACGCUGAGGCGGCGAAAGCGUGGGGAGCAAACAGG